RNAcentral lists this transfer RNA (67 nucleotides) under Austrosimulium sp. RNAcentral's name for it is "tRNA-Asn". The record is from RNAcentral. Lineage: Eukaryota; Metazoa; Arthropoda; Insecta; Diptera; Simuliidae.
UUAAUUGAAGCCAAAAAGAGGCAUAUUACUGUUAAUGAUACUAUUGAAUUGUAUAAUUCCAAUUAAG